Molecule: ribosomal RNA, 431 nt
Filed under: uncultured bacterium
Lineage: Bacteria
Description: bacterial SSU rRNA
Rfam family: Bacterial small subunit ribosomal RNA
Source: RNAcentral
GUGGGGAAUCUUCCGCAAUGGGCGAAAGCCUGACGGAGCAAUGCCGCGUGAGUGAAGAAGGCCUUCGGGUUGUAAAGCUCUAUCCUUGUCCAAGAGAGCAGACUGUAGUAACUGACAGACUGAGGACGGUAGACAAGAAGGAAGCCCCGGCUAACUAUGUGCCAGCAGCCGCGGUAAAACAUAGGGGGCAAGCGUUGUCCGGAAUCACUGGGCGUAAAGGGCGCGUAGGCGGUCUGUUAAGUCGGAUGUGAAAUGUAAGGGCUCAACCCUUAACGUGCAUCCGAUACUGGCAGACUUGAGUGCGGAAGAGGCAAGUGGAAUUCCUAGUGUAGCGGUGAAAUGCGUAGAUAUUAGGAGGAACACCAGUGGCGAAGGCGACUUGCUGGGCCGUAACUGACGCUGAGGCGCGAAAGCGUGGGGAGCAAACAGGA